UACAUAUAUCUUUGCAUACACACACACUUUUUUUUCCUUUUAAAAUUUGUUCUCAUUUCCUCUCACAUAUACUCUUUCUCCAUAUGUAACAACAUGAAAAUUUGUGAUUUUACUUUCAUUCAUGACUUUCCCAUAGCUCAUCUUUGAAUACAUUUCUUUCAUAAACAGUAUGUAUUAAGUCUCUGCUCAGCCAUGUGCUGAGCAUUAGUGGCUACAAUAUUAAUCAGAUGUGACUCAGCUCUUUAAUCUAGUGUGAAGAGCGGAUAUUUUCAUAAAUAGUCCAGGAUAAAAUGAGGCAAAAGAGCAGGUAAGAAACAUUAAGAAUGAUAUCUUCUCUUGUUUCCCAAAGCAAAUCAUGUUCUCAAUAUUAUGUCUCUAUUGUCCCAUUGGCAUUGGUGAUACAGCAAGCCAGUUCAGGUGAGAAGCACCAGUCAUACCAACCAUGCCACUGAAGUAGAGUUUCAGAGCGUCUCAUGGCUCCCAUUCUCAGAUCUGUACCAAGACAGAACAUUUAUAGAAAGAGGAGAUAAAUGAUGAAUGUUGCAAUCUAGUCUGAUAAGGGGAUCUCCCCCUGGAUAGAUUCUACCUAUGUGUGAUACAACAUCUUGGAUGCUUUGUGACUAAGGUUGCUACUUCUUUUCAAAUUAGUAAACAAAACAUAGAUGAUCAAAUAAAUAAAAGGUACACUAACAGUGUCCAAAAGCAUUACCAUUCUUAGAUUUGGCCAGGGAACCAACCAGUGGUUUAUAUUUAUUGAUGACAUAGGCCAAUGCUGUGGAAUUUAUUAUUUAUUUUAUUUUAUAUUUGUUUUCAAAUGUGACCUCUUAUCUUAUGGAAGGUGAAGAAGCCAGGGUCAUUUGCCAUGGUCCCUUUCUCAAAAAAAGAACCUGAAUGUAUAGCUCAAUGCCACUGUGAAUCCUAAUGCAUAUAUAUUCUGGUGACAGUAUCUGCAUACAAUAAUUGCAACUUCCUGCACACACUUGCAAAUUGUCUGUAAAACAAUCACCUUAGAAAUAACAAUGUCAUUAGUGCCAAUAUAAUUCUACUAUUUUUCUACAUUUGCUUCUUGGUUUGCAUUUUGUGUAACUUGUGAUGUAUACAAAUGAUAAACAUGACAAUAAUAAAGAUCUUUUUGCCAAAAA
Long non-coding RNA from Heterocephalus glaber (naked mole-rat), 1142 nucleotides. The record is from Ensembl. NCBI's taxonomy places the organism in Eukaryota, Metazoa, Chordata, Mammalia, Rodentia, Bathyergidae.